This 478-nucleotide ribosomal RNA is filed under the name uncultured bacterium. RNAcentral describes it as "partial 16S ribosomal RNA". It matches the Rfam family "Bacterial small subunit ribosomal RNA", at positions 28 to 523 of the family's 1533-position model. The record is from RNAcentral.
GACGAACGCUGGCGGCGUGCUUAACACAUGCAAGUCGAGCGAUGAAGUUCCUUCGGGAACGGAUUAGCGGCGGACGGGUGAGUAACACGUGGGUAACUUGCCUCAUAGAGGGGAAUAGCCUUUCGAAAGGAAGAUUAAUACCGCAUAAGAUUGUAGUAUCGCAUGAUACAGCAAUUAAAGGAGUAAUCCGCUAUGAGAUGGACCCGCGUCGCAUUAGCUAGUUGGUGAGGUAACGGCUCACCAAGGCGACGAUGCGUAGCCGACCUGAGAGGGGGAUCGGCCACAUUGGGACUGCGACACGGCCCAGACUCCUACGGGAGGCAGCAGUGGGGAAUAUUGCACAAUGGGGGAAACCCUGAUGCAGCAACGCCGCGUGAGUGAUGACGGUCUUCGGAUUGUAAAGCUCUGUCUUCAGGGACGAUAAUGACGGUACCUGAGGAGGAAGCCACGGCUAACUACGUGCCAGCCGCCGCCGUAA